GCUCAACCGGGGAGGGUCGUUGGAAACUGGGGAACUUGAGUGCAGAAGAGGAGAGUGGAAUUCCACGUGUAGCGGUGAAAUGCGUAGAGAUGUGGAGGAACACCGGUGGCGAAGGCGACUCUCUGGUCUGUAACUGACGCUGAGGCGCGAAAGCGUGGGGAGCGAACAGGAUUAGAUACCCUGGUAGUCCACGCCGUAAACGAUGAGUGCUAAGUGUUAGAGGGUUUCCGCCCUUUAGUGCUGCAGCAAACGCAUUAAGCACUCCGCCUGGGGAGUACGGUCGCAAGACUGAAACUCAAAGGAAUUGACGGGGGCCCGCACAAGCGGUGGAGCAUGUGGUUUAAUUCGAAGCAACGCGAAGAACCUUACCAGGUCUUGACAUCCUCUGACAACCCUAGAGAUAGGGCUUCCCCUUCGGGGGCAGAGUGACAGGUGGUGCAUGGUUGUCGUCAGCUCGUGUCGUGAGAUGUUGGGUUAAGUCCCGCAACGAGCGCAACCCUUGAUCUUAGUUGCCAGCAUUCAGUUGGGCACUCUAAGGUGACUGCCGGUGACAAACCGGAGGAAGGUGGGGAUGACGUCAAAUCAUCAUGCCCCUUAUGACCUGGGGCUACACACGUGCUACAAUGGGCAGAACAAAG
RNAcentral lists this ribosomal RNA (638 nucleotides) under uncultured bacterium. RNAcentral describes it as "bacterial SSU rRNA". It matches the Rfam family "Bacterial small subunit ribosomal RNA", at positions 607 to 1244 of the family's 1533-position model. The record is from RNAcentral.